UAGCUCAGUGGUAGAGUGUGUGCUUAGCAUGCAUAAGGUCCUGGGUUCAAUCCCCAG
RNAcentral lists this transfer RNA (57 nucleotides) under Camelus bactrianus (Bactrian camel). It matches the Rfam family "tRNA", at positions 8 to 63 of the family's 71-position model. Rfam says of the family: Transfer RNA (tRNA) molecules are approximately 80 nucleotides in length. Their secondary structure includes four short double-helical elements and three loops (D, anti-codon, and T loops). Further hydrogen bonds mediate the characteristic L-shaped molecular structure. tRNAs have two regions of fundamental functional importance: the anti-codon, which is responsible for specific mRNA codon recognition, and the 3' end, to which the tRNAs corresponding amino acid is attached (by aminoacyl-tRNA synthetases). tRNAs cope with the degeneracy of the genetic code in two manners: having more than one tRNA (with a specific anti-codon) for a particular amino acid; and 'wobble' base-pairing, i.e. permitting non-standard base-pairing at the 3rd anti-codon position. Lineage: Eukaryota; Metazoa; Chordata; Mammalia; Artiodactyla; Camelidae. RNAcentral also lists the same sequence under 2 other names. The record is from Rfam by way of RNAcentral.